RNAcentral lists this ribosomal RNA (99 nucleotides) under uncultured bacterium. RNAcentral's name for it is "partial 16S ribosomal RNA". The record is from RNAcentral.
CUUCGGCCGUAAACCCUGUCAUUUGCGAACAAAUUAAUCUACCCAACGCGUGGAGUUAUUGAUUGUAGCGAAGGAGGAAGGGACGGCCUAACUCUGUGC